Molecule: unclassified non-coding RNA, 375 nt
Filed under: uncultured Actinomycetes bacterium
Lineage: Bacteria; Bacillati; Actinomycetota; Actinomycetes
Description: uncultured actinobacterium contains 16S-23S intergenic spacer region
Source: RNAcentral
UCCGGUUUGUCACCGGCAGUCUCGCAUGAGUCCCCAACUGAAUGCCGGCAACAUGCGACGGGGGUUGCGCUCGUUGCGGGACUUAACCCAACACCUCACGGCACGAGCUGACGACAACCAUGCACCACCUGUAUAGGACGCCGAAGCACACCACAUCUCUGUGGUUUUUCCCUAUAUGUCAAGCCCAGGUAAGGUUCUUCGCGUUGCCUCGAAUUAAGCAACAUGCUCCGCCGCUUGUGCGGGCCCCCGUCAAUUCCUUUGAGUUUUAGCCUUGCGGCCGUACUCCCCAGGCGGGGCACUUAAUGCGUUAGCUACGGCACGGAACCCGUCGAUAGGGUCCCACACCUAGUGUCCAACGUUUACGGCGUGGACUAC